Molecule: ribosomal RNA, 428 nt
Filed under: Bacteroidota bacterium
Lineage: Bacteria; Pseudomonadati; Bacteroidota
Description: Bacteroidetes bacterium partial 16S ribosomal RNA
Rfam family: Bacterial small subunit ribosomal RNA
Source: RNAcentral
UAGGGAAUCUUCCGCAAUGGACGCAAGUCUGACGGAGCAACGCCGCGUGAGUGAAGAAGGAUUUCGGUUCGUAAAACUCUGUUGUUAGAGAAGAACAGCGCAUAGAGUAACUGUUAUGCGUGUGACGGUAUCUAACCAGAAAGCCACGGCUAACUACGUGCCAGCAGCCGCGGUAAUACGUAGGUGGCAAGCGUUGUCCGGAUUUAUUGGGCGUAAAGCGAGCGCAGGCGGUCAAUUAAGUCUGAUGUGAAAGCCCCCGGCUCAACCGGGGAGGGUCAUUGGAAACUGGUUGACUUGAGUGCAGAAGAGGAGAGUGGAAUUCCAUGUGUAGCGGUGAAAUGCGUAGAUAUAUGGAGGAACACCAGUGCGAAGGCGACUCUCUGGUCUGUAACUGACGCUGAGGCUCGAAAGCGUGGGUAGCAAACAGG